AUGGAGAGGACCGGUUCCAGCGCUGACGGCACGGGUCCUAGCACCUCCUCCUCCUACCCCACCGCCGACGCCGACGACAAUGGCACCGCCGGCGGCGCCAAGGUCUGGCUCCUCGUGCUCCUCUUCUCCCUGCUCCUGCUGCUCUUCCUCCCCUCCGCCGUGCGCCGAGGCGGCGGAUUCCAGCGCGGAGGGAUUACGCUCAAGAGCGGCGGGGACGUCGUCAACCUCUGCCUCGUGCUCUUCGCCAUCCUCUGCGGCCUCCUCGGCCGCGGCGGGGGCGACGCCGAUGGGGAGGCCCCUGGCCCCGCGCCGCUGGCGCCCAAGAGCCAUCUGCGGGUGUCCCCUGCCGCGGCGCCGACGCCGGAGCCGAGCACCGAGGACGUCUGGGCGAGCUUCAACAACUCCUACACCAACCACAACGCCCAGACGGGGAUCCGGCGGAUGAAGAGCAGCAGCUCCUACCCGGAGCUGCGGCUGGACAGCGACGGCGUCUGGGGCCUCGCGUCACCGGAGUUGGCCUGGCGCUCCUACGACGAUGCCGAGCUGUACCGGACCCGCCGAGACGACGCCGAUCGGCCGCUCAGGAGGACGUCGUCCGAUGUGAAGACGAUCCCGGUGGACACCUACGAGGUGCGCGCCAGACCGCUGCCUCAGGAUGCGAGGAGGCGGAGGCGGAGCGUCGAGAGGCUCCCCAAGAUGGAUGAGGUGGAGGAGGAGAGGACGCAUCCGGCGGAGACGGAGACUCUCGCUACGCCGGCGAGGAGCAGGACCUGGAGCCCGGAGGAGCUGGACGCUACGCUGCUGGGGAUGGCGUCCGCACCACCAGCACCUGCCCCGCAGCCGCAGCCUCGCCGUCGCCGACGCAGCCUCGAGAGGCUCCCCGAGAUGGUUGAGGUGGAGGAGGAGAGGACGCGUCCCACGGAGACUCGCGCUACGCCGGCGAGGAGCAGGACGUGGAGCCCGGAAGAGCUGGGCGCUACGCUAUUGGAGAUGGCGUCCGCAGAACCACCACCUGCCCCUCCGCAGCAGCCUCGCCGUCGCCGCCGCAGCCUCGAGAACCUGCCGACAAUGGAAGAAGUGGAGAAGGAGAUUAUAGUGGAAGAGAUCAAUCACCCGCAGUCGCCAUCGCCAGCCAUGUUUCCCCCAGGGACUCCGCCGCCACCUCCUCCUCCGCCACCGGCGGCAAUGUCGAGGAGCAAGAAGAAGAGGAGCGGCAGUGUGGGCGGCGCAAAGGAACUGGCCUCCGCCAUUGCUCUCUUCUACCAGAAGAAGCGCAAGAGCAUUAUCAUGAAGAGGGAGAGGCACCACCACCACCACCAUCACCAUCUCUCCGAUGACCACUACUCGUCGCCUUCGUCCGAAGCAUCGGCGAGUCCCGAAGCUACCGGCCGUGCCAAUCCUCCACGCCCGCCACCGCCGCCACCCCCUCCCCCGCCGCCGCCGUCAUCCAUCUUCUCCAACCUCUUCAAGAAAGGAGGCAGCAAGAGCCGCCGCAUGAACUCCCUCGCGCCACCGCAACCGCCACCUCCGCCCCCACCAACGCGCCGAUCAAGGAAACCGCCACAGCCUCCGUCUCGCCCCGCUCCUCCGCAGCCAGCGCCAGCUCCGGUGAGGACACGGCCGCCGCGCGCGAGCGCGCACCCGCAACAGCAGAUACGCGCGCAGGGGUAUCCGCAGCAGCCGCCACUGUAUCCCAGGCGCGGUGUCGUGUACUACGCCUACCCGCUUCCUCCGCCGUCGCCCCCAAUGCCGCCACCGCCUCCUCCACCGCCGAUGCUGGAGGGGGAGGAGGAGGUUCCGUCGGUCACUGCGUCACCGGCACCGUCGUACUGCGCGAGCCCCGACGUGAACACCAAGGCGGACAACUUCAUCGAACGCUUCCGCGCCGGGCUGAAGCUGGAGAAGAUCAACUCGUACAGGGAGAAGCUGCAGAUCCAAGAAGGCGCGACCGUGACCAUGGCGGAGGAGGACGGGGAGUUCAUGGUCAUUGGGUCCCUCUUCGAAGAUGAUGAUGACGAUAUGUCGUUGCCGGAGACGCCGGUAACCGCCACCGCGGCCGCUGUUGCCGCCGGCUUGUAA
RNAcentral lists this ribosomal RNA (2079 nucleotides) under Triticum aestivum (bread wheat). Its description in RNAcentral is "partial small subunit ribosomal RNA". Lineage: Eukaryota; Viridiplantae; Streptophyta; Magnoliopsida; Poales; Poaceae. The record is from RNAcentral.